This 424-nucleotide ribosomal RNA is filed under the name uncultured bacterium. RNAcentral's name for it is "partial 16S ribosomal RNA". It matches the Rfam family "Bacterial small subunit ribosomal RNA", at positions 360 to 776 of the family's 1533-position model. The record is from RNAcentral.
AAUCUUCCACAAUGGGCGAAAGCCUGAUGGAGCAACGCCGCGUGAGUGAAGAAGGUUUUCGGAUCGUAAAACUCUGUGGUAAGGGAAGAACAAGUACAGUAGUAACUGACUGUACCUUGACGGUACCUUAUUAGAAAGCCACGGCUAACUACGUGCCAGCAGCCGUGGUAAUACGUAGGUGGCAAGCGUUGUCCGGAAUUAUUGGGCGUAAAGCGCGCGCAGGCGGUCAUUUAAGUCUGAUGUGAAAGCCCACUGCUCAACCGUGGAGGGUCAUUGGAAACUGGAGGAAUUGAGUGCAGGAGAGGUAAGUGGAAUUCCGAGUGUAGCGGUGAAAUGCGUAGAGAUUUGGAGGAACACCAGUGGCGAAAGCGACUUUCUGGUCUGUAACUGACGCUGAGGCGCGAAAGCGUGGGGAGCAAACAGG